RNAcentral lists this long non-coding RNA (4022 nucleotides) under Homo sapiens (human). Its description in RNAcentral is "HSALNT0271797". The record is from RNAcentral. Lineage: Eukaryota; Metazoa; Chordata; Mammalia; Primates; Hominidae.
GUGGGUUAUUGGUCUUGCUGACUUCGAGAACGAAGCCACCGACCCUCACAGAGUGUUACAGUUCCUAAAGAUGGUGGGCCCGGAGUUUGUUCCUUCCAAUGUUCACGUGUCCACAGUUUUUUCCUUCCCGUGGGUUCGUGGUCUCGCUUGACUUCAGGAUUGAAGCCUCCGACCUUCACAGACUCUCAAUAAGGGUGUCUCAUUUACCUAGACUGCAGUUUUCAACUCCUCGUGAAACUGGAGUGCAUGAACGCUGGAAGCAGCCAGCUGUUUCAACGCCAGCAGGGCCGAACUCCACUCACUGGGACCUGCUGCACAGGAUGCAUAUCCUCCAAGUUGACAGUCCCUAAAGCAACCCAACUUUCCUUUUUCUAUGUUCAUUGCCUAAUUUUUUAGGCUAUUUCAUAAGUAUCCUUGUGAAUUCACUAUCAACAUUCAGUAUCAGUGUGACCUGCACUCCACUGCACUCCAGCCUGGACAACAAAGUGAGACCCUGUCUCUAAAAGAAAAAGAAAAUUGGAAUCCAUAUGAGUACUAGUUCUUUGUGAAAUUAAUAUGGUGAGGAAAAAUAUCUUUCUCCCAAAAGGUAAUUUUAUACCAAAUUAUAUGCAACUGUAGAGUAAAAUAUUUGUUUUGUUUCAAAUUAUAUUCACAAAUUUUUUGAUGUAUAUUUGGUAAGUUUUAAAAUUGACAAUCACUCUUAACUCUGUAUGAAUGAGCUGCAUGAUUAUAUGAUAAUUAAACAGAAAAGUACAGCAAAGUUUCUAAAUAAUACUGACUAAAGAAUUAUGUUAUUUUAAUGAUAUGUAACACAAUCAAAUUAUAUCACACAUUAUAUAAUGAAUAUAAAAUAUAUUAUUUUCUCUAACAUAGAGAAAUCACAUAAUUUCUACCACCAAUUAUUUUACAAAUGUAAGUACAUUUUUUUCUUCAAUCCAUGUAAAGAAAAUUGAAAAUUGCUCAUCACCAAAUAUAAGGAUGACCUUUCCAGUAUAACAUAAGAGUUUUGUUUUUGCUUCUGUUCAUUGUCAAUCUUUACUUUGAUUUUAUUAAAAAUACAUUAAAAUAUUUUUUGGCCAAUUUUACUAAUGAUAGUAAAGCCCAUUGAUAUUUUUACCAAUACAAAUUACUUGCUUUAUAUGUUGCUUGCUCUACUUCCAUUUCCUUUCAGGUUCUCACUCAUUUUGUAUUUCAAAUGAUUUUGUAUCUCAGAAUCCUAAGGAUUUGUGUCUCAAAUCCUAAUUUACAGAUAGUAUCUUAAUUAUUUUGAUUGCAUGUCCUGAUGAAAUCCUGUGUGAAUUCACUUCAUGGAUAUAUAAGUACUCCUCUCUUAAUACUACAUUAGUUAUAAAAUUUAAUCUGCUUAGAAACAUCUUCUUGUUACCCAAGAAUAAAAAUUUUCUUCAAAAAUUACAUAUAUCUUAAUAAUGGCAUGGUUCUAGUAUCAAAAGUCUUUAGCCUACAACAUUGGCAAAAUCUGAGACCAUCUAUUUCUUGAAACACAGUCCGGUGCAUUCUAUAAUUUGGAUACAGACCAGGUUUACAUAAUCAUGCUGAUGAAGCCAUUCCAGAGAGACUAAUGAAUAAAACGAGAGUAUGUUUUCCUUUCCAGAUCAAGAGACAAUUCUGCUGAUAAAAUCCUGGUAAUUGUCAGAUUGAAUCAGAUCCAUUGUCUUCCAGACCAAUGUCUCAUAUAAUAUUUUUCGCUGUAAUUUCAUUUGACAUAAACUGUAACUGUUUGGGAUGAGACUAAGAUAUGAUAACCUGGGUUCAAAUAUCAUAUGGGUUUCAUUGCUUCAAACGUCUUAUCCACUAUUAAAAAGUGUAUGAAAUAGUUUCUGUUAACUCUAAUUUUGACAAUGUAAUGCUGCAAAGACUUGCUCUGUUAAUUUUUAUUCUUUGUUGUUUUAUAUUUUAUUUAUAUACAUUGUCAUUGUUUACAUUUUCUUCAGAACUCUUUAGACUUCCCCAAAAAUGGCAGCAUUCUUACCCUUGAAUCAAUUUUAUCUCUUUUUUAAAUACAAUAAUUUAAUUGAAUGUUUUUUGAGAAUGAGAAUUUUAACUUGAGACAUAGGCAGAUCAGUAUAUAUAUAUAAACUUAGUAAUGUAUAAAUAUAAUAUGUAUUGGUAUCUAUAUAGUUAUAGUGGUUAUUUAUUAGCUGAAUUUUAUUUAUAGUGUCUUCACUUUUUCUAUAGCUUCACUAAAUUUGUCUACUUUUUCUGUCAAUCGCUGUAUAAGGUGUGCUAAAACCACCCAAUAAGAUGGUGGAUUAGCCAAUAAUUCCUUGUAUUUUCAUCUUUCUUUACAUAUUUUGAAACUAUAGUGUUAGAUACAUGAAAUUUGGAAUGUUUUUAAAAUCUGGCAUAUUGAAUUUUCAGUUCGAGAUAUUUUAAUACUCUUUAUACUAGUAUUUUGUUUGCUUUCUUGCUAUUUAGCUAUUAUUAACUGCCUGAUAAUUUUUUUUCUGUGUAUAUUCCAUCUUUAAUUUUUAAAUUUUGGUUGUAUUAUCUUCUGGGUGUGUUGUUUGUCUCUACUGUGAAUGACAUAUAAAUACACCCUUUUAGAUCACACACACACACACACACACACACACACGAUAGCUAAUGUAGCAAAUUCAGCAUCAGAAGACAUGCACUACCACUAUAAUAUAUCGAUAAAAACUAAAAGUUUCUUUGCUGGAUACAGGGAAUGAAAUACCCACUCUCCAAACCCAGCUUCGAAGAAACCCUCAGUGACUGACUUUGCAAAGUGGUUGUCUGUGUACUCCAGCCCCCUCAGCCCUUUAGGAGCAAAUUCUGAUAUGUAUGUUUUGCAUAGUUUCCCAAAGGUUUCCUUUAGAAUUAACUUGACAUCUAUAAGAGCAAUUAAAUGCAUCUUUUUAUUGGCUUCUUUCUCAUUCCAUACUUUCCUACUUGUAUUCAUGCAAACACCAAAUAAAUUACAUGUACUCAAAUCCUUUUCUCAUGGUCUGCUUCUGAGAAAACCCAACAGAAAAUUCGAAAGUUCCAAUGUUUUUGUUACCUAGGAAAUAUAUUCAUAUUUAUAUGUAUUGAGUUUUUGAUAUGAUAGAAUUUAUUUUGACCAUCUCAUUUUGCCUUUUUUAUGUUCUCUAUAUUUAUAAUUUUCUUUAUAGCUUGGAGUACAUACUGGGACGACAUUUAUUAUUUCAGAACUUACUUUUAUCUUUACUUCAUUCUACCCAAAGGAAAGAAAAGGAAGCCUGAAGUUAAUUUUAGAGAGAAAAUGCAUUUGCAAUACAAAGAGGAUAAAAAAAUCUAUAUAUGUUAAAUACACUAGAGCAAGCAUUUAAAAACAAUUCUAGAGUAUGAUUUCAAAUUACCUGUCCAAGAGACAGGAAAAUAGUUGUAAAUCACGGAGGAAUAUUUGAUACUCAGGCAUGUGCUUUGAUCAUUAAAAAAAGAGUUGCAAUAUCAGAAUAUUAUUUAUUUUGUAACUUUGAAAGGGGAACAAAUUAUAAAAAUCUAGUAAGUAUAACAACAGCAACUACCAUUGAUCAAGUGCUUACAAUGGCAAAGGCAUAGUGCUCAGAACUUUUCAUGCAUUCCCUCCUUCACUUUUCAUCAUAGCCCUGGGGAGUUGCACUGAUAUCUCUGUUUUGCAGAUGAGGAAUCUGAAGUUUCAAUAGAUUCAGUAAGUUGACCAUGUGAUAGAAAGUGCCCACAUUACUCUGAUAUGAAUUAAAUAAAUCGUAGAAAUAUUUAAGCAUUCUGGAAGAGGAUGAACUUGAAAAUAUUUUUUCUGAGGCAAACAGUUAUGAAUGUUUUGAAGUGUUUAAUAAUUCUCUUCUGCAGUGUAUUGCUGUAUGUCAUAUAAUACUGUAAUAAAGAUCCUGUAAUUUUAAAAAUCAUGUGCUAUCUAAACUUUCUGAAUAAUAUAAAAUUUCAAAAAAUAUUUUCUCUUCAUAGAUAUUUCCCUCAAUUGAAGGUCCAGAUCUGUUUUUCAUACAUACAUGUAUUUUUCACGUAUGUAUAUAUUUUACACAUGUAUGUGUAAAAAUUUA